AUACGUAGGGGGCGAGCGUUGUCCGGAAUGAUUGGGCGUAAAGGGCGCGUAGGCGGCCCGGUAAGUCUGGAGUGAAAGUCCUGUUUUUAAGAUGGGAAUUGCUUUGGAUACUGUCGGGCUUGAGUGCAGGAGAGGUAAGUGGAAUUCCCAGUGUAGCGGUGAAAUGCGUAGGGAUUGGGAGGAACACCAGUGGCGAAGGCGACUUACUGGGCUGUAACUGACGCUGAGGCGCGAAAGUGUGGGGAGCAAACAGGAUUAGAUACCCAGGUAGUCCACACUGUAAACGAUGAAUGCUAGGUGUAGGGGGUAUCGACCCCUUCUGUGCCGCAGUCAACACAAUAAGCAUUCCGCCUGGGGAGUACGGCCGCAAGGUUGAAACUCAAAUGAAUUGACGGGG
Molecule: ribosomal RNA, 397 nt
Filed under: uncultured bacterium
Lineage: Bacteria
Description: partial 16S ribosomal RNA
Rfam family: Bacterial small subunit ribosomal RNA
Source: RNAcentral